GAUGAACGCUAGCGGCAGGCCUAACACAUGCAAGUCGAGGGGGAGGUUACUUUCGGGUAACUGAGACCGGCGUACGGGUGCGUAACGCGUAUACAAUCUGCCUUUCACUGGGGGAUAGCCCGAAGAAAUUUGGAUUAAUACCCCAUAGUAUAGUAAUACGGCAUCGUGAUGCUAUUAAAGCUUAGGUGGUGAAAGAUGAGUAUGCGUUCUAUUAGCUAGUUGGAGAGGUAACGGCUCCCCAAGGCGAUGAUAGAUAGGGGUUCUGAGAGGGAUGUCCCCCACACUGGUACUGAGAUACGGACCAGACUCCUACGGGAGGCAGCAGUGAGGAAUAUUGGACAAUGGUUGGAAGACUGAUCCAGCCAUGCCGCGUGCAGGAUGAAGGUCUUAUGGAUUGUAAACUGCUUUUGUAAGGGAAGAAUAAGGGCUACGCGUAGUUUGAUGACGGUACCUUACGAAUAAGCAUCGGCUAACUCCGUG
This 480-nucleotide ribosomal RNA is filed under the name uncultured bacterium. Its description in RNAcentral is "partial 16S ribosomal RNA". It matches the Rfam family "Bacterial small subunit ribosomal RNA", at positions 28 to 507 of the family's 1533-position model. The record is from RNAcentral.